This is a non-coding RNA of Oryza glaberrima (African rice), 191 nucleotides long. The record is from Rfam. Lineage: Eukaryota; Viridiplantae; Streptophyta; Magnoliopsida; Poales; Poaceae.
CUUAAGCGCAACAUGAGUUCCGUGUCCAACUUUAAUUAUUUGUCUUAUUUAAUUUUUUUUAUAAUUAGUAUUUUUAUUGUUAUUAGAUUAUAAAACAUUAUUAGUGACUCAUAUUUUUUAGUUUUCUCCAAAAAAAAAUUAAAUAAAACGAAUAAUCAAAGUUGGACAAAAAACUUAUGGCUGCGCUUAUU